This 328-nucleotide ribosomal RNA is filed under the name uncultured eukaryote. Its description in RNAcentral is "partial 18S ribosomal RNA". It matches the Rfam family "Eukaryotic small subunit ribosomal RNA", at positions 1470 to 1796 of the family's 1831-position model. The record is from RNAcentral.
CCCUUAGAUGUUCUGGGCUGCACGCGCGCUACACUGAUGCGCUCAACGAGUUUUAACCUUGCCUGGAAAGGUUGGGUAAUCUUUUUAAAACGCAUCGUGAUGGGGAUAGAUUAUUGCAAUUAUUAAUCUUCAACGAGGAAUUCCUAGUAAGCGCGAGUCAUCAGCUCGUGCUGAUUACGUCCCUGCCCUUUGUACACACCGCCCGUCGCUCCUACCGAUUGAAUGGUCCGGUGAAGCGCUCGGACCGCGGCCUCUUGACGGUUCGCUGUCGAUUGGCUGUGGGAAGUUCGUUAAACCUUAUCAUUUAGAGGAAGGAGAAGUCGUAACA